Dreissena polymorpha is the source of this 4418-nucleotide long non-coding RNA. RefSeq lists it as uncharacterized. The transcript has 2 exons. NCBI's taxonomy places the organism in Eukaryota, Metazoa, Mollusca, Bivalvia, Myida, Dreissenidae. The record is from RefSeq and is a predicted model, not a curated record.
AAAAAAAUCAAAGAAAAUGCUAAUUUUAGAAAUUCAGCAGACGACAUUUAAGCAGACGACAAAUUUCCCAGCAUGCAAAGGGUUAAAUUGACUUUGCUGAGUAUUAAGUUCUAAAGGUUUACCUGAAACAUUAGUGAGCUUUUCUGGUUAGUAAUUGUCUUUCUUUGCUGUUAUCCCAUAUGGUUUCUUAAAAAACUUGUUCACAUAUUUUUUGUUUAUGAAAAAUGUCAUUAAAUGAUAUGACUAGAGAAGUGAUAAAAAUUGGGAAGUUUAUAAUAAUGAUCAAAGCAAGAUAAAAAAAAAGAAGUUUGCCUUUAAGGAAUUGAACACUGGACCUGCAAGAGCAAGAGCCUAAUUUCUACCCCACUAAACCACUCAGGCUUUUUAUCCUACAGCAUAUUUUUAAUGCAUUGUAAAAUAUACAAUUAUUUUCGAAAUUAUUGACAAAAGACAUUAAAAAUGCUUUAUAAUUUUACCAACUGUAUUGAUGAUUAUCUAUAAGUGUAUUUUUUAUGUGUUUAUAUCUGUAAUUUUGCUUAUAACAUGACCUACACUUCAGUAGUGAAAUAACAUAAUGCUCAAUUUUGUUUAUUACACAGUGUUAUUACACUAGUUAUGUAACUGUGAAAUGAUGUCAUUAUUCCAGCGAAUUUCUUCAGUUAAACUCUUUUACAAUGUGAAUAAACGGUGAAAACAGCAUAAAAUAAAAAGAAAAUUUGUUGGUCAUGUUAUAAAUAGAAUCUUAGAUUCGUGGUCAUUUUGGCAAGCCUCGUUUUUAUCUUUAUUUAGAAAACUUGUUUAAUAAAUUCAAUACAAAACGACCACUCAUGCAAAAUCCUAUAUUUAUUUAACGCUUAUGUUUAAUAUUAAUUUUUGUAUCAAUAUUUAUUUUUUCAAACUUUGAACAAGCCCCUUUAAACUCUGGUGAGCUACCUUGGGCCAUCUUUUCCUUCAUGUUAUAUGGUUGCUAAUUUAUUUGCUUAUAUACUUAUCAUAAGAUAUCAAAAUUAUUUUUAGAAAUUUCAAUUUUAACGUUGUUUCUUCUUAUAUUACCGCAUUUGAUAAUUAAGCAAAUCCUAUUUUAAAUGUGAGGCCUCAUGGUGUCUGUUGAUCAGAAUCGGAUCGUUAUUUUGUUUUUGACGUUUCUGAAAAUAGUUAACUGUAUCAUGUCUAGAAAAAAAACAUUCCCAAUUUAUGUUUUAUAUCUUUUUUUCACCAUAUUUUUGCAGUGUAUUUUUUAUUGGAUGUAGUUCCAAGUAUUAAAAUUACAUUCCACCAUAAUGUGAUGUUAUUAUGAGACUCAAGUGAAUAGUUGCUACCGUAAUUUAGUUUGUUUUCAAUACUUGCAUGUUUCCUCUGUUACUCUAUAAAGGUUCAAUCACGUGUUUUUAGUGAUCACACCGAAUCAAUAGGAUGAACAUGGAUGCGGGAUCAUUUGACAGUAUGUUGUUGGAUAAAAAAUAAAAUAAUGAUGAUCAUCAUUAUUGGAGUCUUGUUCUGAGACAACUGGGCUCAAUGCAUGUGCGUAAAGUGUCAUCCCAGAUUAGCCUUUGCAGUUUUCACAGGCUAAUCAGGGACGACACUUUCCGCCUUAGCUUGAUUUUUAGGUAAAGAGGGACUUCCUUGAAACUAAAAAUACCAUAAAAGCGGAAAGUAUCUUCGCUGAUAAGCCUGUGCGGACUGCACAGGCUAAUCUGGGACGACACUUUACGCACAUGCAUUGAGCCCAGUUUUCUCAGAACCCGACUCAUUUAAACCAGUUGUUGGCAUGUGCUUUAUUUUUUUUCUUGCCAUGUUUCUGCCUACUGACAUUUUUGUUGUUUUUGUGUGUGUUUUGUUUUAAGAAGUGUUAAGAAUUCCUGCUUAAUGUUUUUAAAAUUGGUAUGUUUUUCAACAUGGUCCUCAAAUAUAAAUUCUGUUUAUGGUUUGUUUUUGUUAAUUUGCGUCUUUAGGUUCUGACUGAUUUGUUGUUUUUUUUAAUGAAUCUGUUUAUUAUGAAAAUAAUCUGAAUUUCAUCUAUUUUUAAACAAUAACCUGAGAUUCUAUAAGUGGCUUCCAUCGUUCUGUGCAUUAUAAAUAUUACAACAAAGAGUGACAAGUCCCUGUUCAACGUUCAAUAAUGUUUUCUUUUAAUUAUGCCCCCCUUCGAAGAAGAGGGGGUAUAUUGUUAUGCACAUGUCAGUCCGUCCGUCGGUCCGUCCACCAGAUGGUUUCCGGAUGAUAACUCAAGAACGCUUAGGCCUAGGAUCAUGAAACUUCAUAGGUACAUUGAUCAUGACUGGCAGAUGACCCCUAUAGACUAUCAGGUCACUAGGUCAAUGUCACAGUCACUCGAAAUAGUAAAAUGGUUUCCGGUUGAUUACUCAAGAAUGCUUAGGCCUAGGAUCUUGAAACUCCAUAGGUACAUUGAUCAUGACUUGCAGAUGGCCCCUAUUUAUUUUCAGGUCACUAGGUCAAAGGUCAAGGUCACGGUGACUCGAAAUAAUAAAAUGGUUUCCGGAUGAUAACUCAAGAAUGCUUACGCCUAGGAUCAUGAAACUUCAUAGGUACAUUGAUCAUGACUGGCAGAUGACCCCUAUUGAUUUUCAGGUCACUUGGUCAAAGGUCAAGGUCACAGUGACAAAAAACGUAUUCACACAAUGGCUGCCACUACUGACAGCCCAUAUGGGGGGCAUUCAUGUUUUACAAACAGCCCUUGUUUAUUUAAAGUGUGUAUGCCAUUAUGAAUAUGUAUGUAAAGAAUAAGUAAUUUGUGCUUCAUUUAUUGGCAAUCAAAAAUAAUGUAACAUUCUCUGCUUAAAUAUUUACAACAUAUAGUACACAAAAUAUUAAUCUUAAAUGUAUUUCCAUAUUCAUAUUCUUUAAAGAUGUAUAAAAUGUUAUCAAAAUAAAUGUUUGUCUCCCCUUAGUCAUAAUAAUUACCAUAUAGAUUGUGUUAUGUUGCAUAAUAAUGCAUUGCCUUUAACUUUGUUUUAAUAUUGGAAACUUUCCUCUCUGCACAGUCUUUGAAUUAUGUUUACUGCAGUGUACUGGCAAAAAUGUGAACAAAAUGAUUUUCUUGAAAAUUGAACAACAUUGUAUUUCAUCUGUAGUUUUUUUUUGUAUUUAUUUAAACCAAUAUAUUUUAACACGUGUUAUUGCUUCUUUAUUCUGGCAUAGCAUGUUCAUGUUUGUAAAAUCAUACAAAAUGUUUGAUAACGAAAGUCAAAUUUUUGUAUAGAUUCCUAUGAUCCAAUUCAAUUUUGUAUAUAUUACUAUGUAUCCAAUUCAACUCUGUAAUACUGUGUAAAUACAAAAUAGUACCUAUACAAACACACGUGGCAUAUUAAUUAAAAUAGUGCCUGUUAAACAACUAGAAAGCACUUUGAAUCGAGUUUGACUGACAAGGUGUUAAAUAAUUUCUCUUUGAAAGAGUUAAUGAAUAAUACUUAAAUUUAAAGUCGAGGUCAAAGGAAACAUAUGUUUUACCUUUACAAAUUGUCAGAAUAUUGGAUGCGUACAGAUAAACUUGUGUGAUUAUGUAACAAUAAUGUUGCAAACAUAUUCAUGUUCAUUUUGGUACAUACAUUUUACUUAAAUCUUCAAGUGCAUUUUGUAGCAUACAUGUAUAUGACAUACAUAAUCAAGUGCACUUUGUAACAUAAAUGUUACAUACAUAUUCAUCUGCAUUUGUAAAAUAUUUGUUUCACAUAUUCAUGUGCAUUUUGUAGAAUUUACUUUCCACGCCAUUUUGUUUCUUAUUCUUAAUGGGAUAUGAUUAGAAUGUACCCGAAGAUUACUGUUUUAACUUGAUCUACAAAAUAAUUUGAAUCACAAAAUAAUAUGUCUUCAGAGGGAACUGUAUUUGAGUACAGUAUGUAAAGACUUAAGGACUAAGGAGCUGUCUUUUUAAAGAUAAGUUACAACUGUUAGUAGUUUAAGUUAUAUACAUGUGUGGUCACAAUGUGCCAAGAAUAUUACUUAAAUUAAGUAAUCGUAUAUGAAAAUAUAGACUUUUAAGUAUAUAAGCCUGUACAUUGAAUUAGACAAGUUUUUGGGGAUCAUUUAAUGUUGCUAGUGAACAAAUUUAAAGUUUUCUGCAACUGGUUGAAUGUCAUAUUGCUAAAUGUUUAAGUGUUCUUGUUAUUGCCAUUGAAAUCAAAUAGAAAACAGAAACAAGAACGGAAGACCGGUACAGCUACAAUCCAUUUUUCAUAAUGCUCUUUUUGUCAUCGAUUAUGGUGGUAGAAAUCUUAACAUUAAGUAUUUUUAAAUAAUACUCUGUACCACACUAUCUGUUAAAGCUAACAAAAAAUAAAAUGCUUAUAAUUAAACAAUGCGCAGUAACCUAUUAUUGUAUUUAUAUGUAAUUGUAUGUUUAUUUCGUAAAGAUUCCUUUGAAAUAAUCUUCAUGAAUAAUAAAUCAUGAGCUAUAUUGU